AAAUGAAUAGACGGGGGCCCGCACAAGCAGCGGAGCAUGUGGUUUAAUUCGAGGCAACGCGAAGAACCUUACCUAGACUUGACAUCUCCUGAAUUACCCUUAACCGGGGAAGCCCUUCGGGGCAGGAAGACAGGUGGUGCAUGGUUGUCGUCAGCUCGUGUCGUGAGAUGUUGGGUUAAGUCCCGCAACGAGCGCAACCCCUAUUGUCAGUUGCUACCAUUAAGUUGAGCACUCUGGCGAGACUGCCCGGGUUAACCGGGAGGAAGGUGGGGAUGACGUCAAAUCAUCAUGCCCCUUACGUCUAGGGCUACACACGUGCUACAAUGGCAGGUACAAAGAGACGCGAUCCCGCGAGGAGGAGCAAAUCUCAUAAAACCUGCCCCAGUUCAGAUUGCAGGCUGCAACUCGCCUGCAUGAAGUCGGAGUUGCUAGUAAUCGCGAAUCAGCAUGUCGCGGUGAAUACGUUCCCGGGCCUUGUACACACCGCCCGU
This 491-nucleotide ribosomal RNA is filed under the name uncultured bacterium. Its description in RNAcentral is "bacterial SSU rRNA". It matches the Rfam family "Bacterial small subunit ribosomal RNA", at positions 903 to 1397 of the family's 1533-position model. The record is from RNAcentral.